GGUGGCUCAGUGGUAGAGCACUUGCCUUGCAAGCCCGAGACCCUGGGUUCGAUUCCUCAGCACCA
This is a non-coding RNA of Dipodomys ordii (Ord's kangaroo rat), 65 nucleotides long. The record is from Rfam. NCBI's taxonomy places the organism in Eukaryota, Metazoa, Chordata, Mammalia, Rodentia, Heteromyidae.